UGAAAAAAAGAAAAAAAAAAAAACUCGUCAUCGAGUUGAAAUAACUUGCAACGAUCCAACGAUAUGGCCAAAACAACUCCAGCACCAUUCUCUUCCACUCGGAAUAAUUCGUUCUUCGAAUUUUAAAGUGGAAAAGAAUGAAGAACUAACUUAUUUGAAAAAGUACACCAUGUAGCCUUCUUUGAUGAGGUAAAAAAUGAAGAUUCAAACAAGAUUGAAUUGAUCAACUUCACCCUCUCUUUUGUCUCUAUAAGAACACCUGGACAAAUAAAAUCAAAGGAAACAAUAGAAAUUAAGGAGUUAGGAAAGUCUUCGAUCUUCAAUGCUUGAUUAGGAAAGUCUUCAAUCUUCAAUGCUUGAUUUCCUCCAAUCCCCAAUAUUGGCUCCAUGUGUUGCCUUUCCUCAACUUCCAUUGAAGUUUCCAAGGCUUGAUAUUCCAUAUUUGCAAAAACAUAUUGUUGAAGCUUUUCUUACUUAUCUUCAUCGGUCUUAGUUUCUAGAAUAGUUAGCCCAAUGAUUUUCAAUUGAAGCUCAUUAUCUUCAACCAUAGCAAAAGUAAAUUCCAUUAAAGUUUCAUAUUCCAAUUCUUCAAAUUUAGGCUCAUCCACUUCAAGUUGCAUUGCUAAAUCUUGAAGCUCUUUUUGUUCUUCACUUUCUUACUUCACAAGCAAGAAAGGUUUUGGUUGGACCUUCUCUUAGCAAAGUUUUUGUUGGAA
Molecule: unclassified non-coding RNA, 716 nt
Filed under: Hevea brasiliensis (rubber tree)
Lineage: Eukaryota; Viridiplantae; Streptophyta; Magnoliopsida; Malpighiales; Euphorbiaceae
Source: RNAcentral